UCAUCAAAACCGGUUUCCUGAAUGAAGCCGGUAACGCCUUCGCCAAUGACUGUUCUGCAGUCUCUAUUAAUCCUAACAAUAGGGGUCCAAGGUGGUAUGUUCAACACUGUCAAAUCGUCAACAGUUAUUCGCCUGGUAAAUCCAUCCUGUAUGCUGACUUCGGCCGCUCAUUUGGU
Long non-coding RNA from Haliotis rubra (blacklip abalone), 176 nucleotides. RefSeq lists it as uncharacterized. The record is from RefSeq and is a predicted model, not a curated record. Lineage: Eukaryota; Metazoa; Mollusca; Gastropoda; Lepetellida; Haliotidae. The transcript is spliced from 3 exons.